GACGAACGCUGGCGGCGUGCCUAACACAUGCAAGUCGAACGAAGCAUAGCAAUAUGCUUAGUGGCGGACGGGUGAGUAACGCGUGAACAAUCUGCCCUGUACAAAGGAAUAGCCUCGGGAAACCGGGAUUAAAACCGUAUGACACUUUAGUAUCGCAUGAUAAGAAAGUCAAAUCGAUUAGAGGUAUGGGAUGAGUUCGCGUCUGAUUAGCUGGUUGGCGGGGUAACGGCCCACCAAGGCGACGAUCAGUAGCCGGCCUGAGAGGGUGAACGGCCACACUGGAACUGAGACACGGUCCAGACUCCUACGGGAGGCAGCAGUGGGGAAUAUUGCACAAUGGAGGGAACUCUGAUGCAGCGACGCCGCGUGAGUGAAGAAGGUCUUCGGAUCGUAAAACUCUGUCCUUGGUGAAGAAAAGGACGGUAGCCAAGGAGGAAGCCCCGGUAACUACGUG
Molecule: ribosomal RNA, 454 nt
Filed under: uncultured bacterium
Lineage: Bacteria
Description: bacterial SSU rRNA
Rfam family: Bacterial small subunit ribosomal RNA
Source: RNAcentral